This 498-nucleotide ribosomal RNA is filed under the name uncultured bacterium. Its description in RNAcentral is "partial 16S ribosomal RNA". It matches the Rfam family "Bacterial small subunit ribosomal RNA", at positions 28 to 507 of the family's 1533-position model. The record is from RNAcentral.
GACGAACGCUGGCGGCGUGCCUAAUACAUGCAAGUCGAACGAGAGCGACCGGUGCUUGCACUGGUCACUCUAGUGGCGAACGGGUGAGUAACACGUGGGUAACCUGCCCAUCAGAGGGGGAUAACAUCCGGAAACGGAUGCUAACACCGCAUAGGUCUUCGAACCGCAUGGUUUGAAGAGGAAAAGAGGCGCAAGCUUCUGCUGAUGGAUGGACCCGCGGUGCAUUAGCUAGUUGGUGAGGUAACGGCUCACCAAGGCCGCGAUGCAUAGCCGACCUGAGAGGGUGAUCGGCCACAUUGGAACUGAGACACGGCCCAAACUCCUACGGGAGGCAGCAGUAGGGAAUCUUCCGCAAUGGACGCAAGUCUGACGGAGCAACGCCGCGUGAGUGAAGAAGGUUUUCGGAUCGUAAAACUCUGUUGUUAGAGAAGAACAAGUGCUAGAGUAACUGUUAGCGCCUUGACGGUACCUAAUCAGAAAGCCACGGCUAACUACGUG